RNAcentral lists this ribosomal RNA (504 nucleotides) under Ptinidae gen. 1 sp. KLB-2011. RNAcentral describes it as "partial 16S ribosomal RNA". The stretch from base 381 to 504 matches the Rfam family "Archaeal large subunit ribosomal RNA", at positions 2542 to 2666 of the family's 2987-position model. Lineage: Eukaryota; Metazoa; Arthropoda; Insecta; Coleoptera; Ptinidae. The record is from RNAcentral.
GUCUUUUAGAAUUUAAUUUAAAGUCCGAUCUGCCCAAUGAUUAUUUUAAUGGCCGCGGUAUUUUGACCGUGCAAAGGUAGCAUAAUAAUUAGUUUUUUAAAUGGAAACUGGAAUGAAUGAUUAGACGAGAAUUAAGCUGUCUCUGUUUUAAUAAUAUAAUUUUAUUUUUAAGUUAAAAAGCUUAAAUAUUUUAAAAAGACGAGAAGACCCUAUAGAUUUUUAUAUUUUAUCUGAUAAAAUUGAUUUUGUAUAUUUUAGUUUUUUUGAUAUUUAUUUGGUUGGGGUGAUUGGAAAAUUUAUUUAACUUUUCUUUUUUUUUAUACAUUAAUUUAUGAAUUUUUGAUCCAAUAUUUUUGAUUAUAAGAUUAAAUUACCUUAGGGAUAACAGCGUUAUUUUUCUUAAAAGUUCUUAUUUGUGGAAAAGUUUGCGACCUCGAUGUUGGAUUAAAAUUUAUUAUUAAUGCAGGAGUUAAAUAAUUAAGUCUGUUCGACUUUUAAAAUUUU